CCUACGGNNNNNNNNNCAGUGGGGAAUCUUGGACAAUGNNNNNAAGCCUGAUCCAGCCAUGCCGCGUGAGUGAUGAAGGCCUUNNGGUCGUAAAGCUCUUUCGCCAGAGAUGAUAAUGACAGUAUCUGGUAAAGAAACCCCGGCUAACUCCGUGCCAGCAGCCGCGGUAAUACGGAGGGGGUUAGCGUUGUUCGGAAUUACUGGGCGUAAAGCGCGCGUAGGCGGACUAGUCAGUCAGGGGUGAAAUCCCGGGGCUCAACCCCGGAACUGCCUUUGAUACUGCUAGUCUAGAGUUCGAGAGAGGUGAGUGGAAUUCCGAGUGUAGAGGUGAAAUUCGUAGAUAUUCGGAGGAACACCAGUGGCGAAGGCGGCUCACUGGCUCGAUACUGACGCUGAGGUGCGAAAGUGUGGGGAGCAAACAGGAUUAGAUACCCUGGUAGUCCACACCGUAAACGAUGAAUGCCAGUCGUCGGGUAGCAUGCUAUUCGGUGACACACCUAACGGAUUAAGCAUUCCGCCUGGGGAGUACGGUCGCAAGAUUAAAACUCAAAGGAAUUGACGG
RNAcentral lists this ribosomal RNA (562 nucleotides) under bacterium enrichment culture clone OB6. RNAcentral describes it as "partial 16S ribosomal RNA". It matches the Rfam family "Bacterial small subunit ribosomal RNA", at positions 338 to 916 of the family's 1533-position model. The record is from RNAcentral.